GAUGAAGAACGUAGCGAAAUGCGAUAAGUAAUGUGAAUUGCAGAAUUCAGUGAAUCAUCGAAUCUUUGAACGCACCUUGCGCCCUUUGGCCAUUCCGAAGGGCAUGCCUGUUUGAGUAUCAUGAACACCUCAACUCUUCAUGGAUUUCCAUGAUGAGCUUGGACUUUGGGGGUCUUGCCGGCCUGUGGUCGGCUCCUCUCAAAUGAAUCGGCUUACCGGUUUUUGGUGGGCAUCACAGGUGUGAUAACUAUCUACGCUUGUGGUUUUCCACCAGGGUAACCUUCAGCAGUGGAGGUUCACUGGAGCUUACAAAUGUCUCUCCUCCGUGAGGACAGCCCUUUGAAUGUUUGAUCUCAAAUCAGGUAGGACUACCCGCUGAACUUAAGCAUAUCAAUAAGCGGAGGA
RNAcentral lists this unclassified non-coding RNA (405 nucleotides) under soil metagenome. RNAcentral's name for it is "partial contains 5.8S ribosomal RNA, internal transcribed spacer 2, and large subunit ribosomal RNA". The stretch from base 1 to 121 matches the Rfam family "5.8S ribosomal RNA", at positions 35 to 154 of the family's 154-position model. The record is from RNAcentral.